Camellia sinensis is the source of this 1171-nucleotide non-coding RNA. Lineage: Eukaryota; Viridiplantae; Streptophyta; Magnoliopsida; Ericales; Theaceae. The record is from RefSeq and is a predicted model, not a curated record.
UAAAAGCCCAUUUCAAUAAUAAAACAGACAAAUAAGAAAAGCGGAAUGAGGGUUUCAAUUCAAGCAUCUCCUGGAGAUUGAAGUGAAAACCAGAGUACCAGAGAGAGAGAGAAAGUAACGACGAGUUGUUGUUGAUUCAGUAGAGAGAGAGAGAGAGAGAGAGAAAUAUCGAAGAAGAACGACCUAGCUCGCAGAAAAAGACAGCACGAAUUCGAACUCCAAAGCACUCUCUCUCUAUCUCUCUCUAUAUAUGAGAGAAAUUAGAGAAAGAAAACAAGGCAAAGAAGCUGCAGGCCAAGAAGAAUAAGAUGAAAGUAACUCCCUUUCUUCUUCCUCCAAGCCCACUCUCUGUAUAGUGUUGGAAUGUGUUGAAGAGCUUUGUGUUUGGGCAAUUAUGUGUUUAGUCGGAUGGGUAGUGACACGAAGAAAAAGAAGAAGGGUGCAAGUGCAUUCCAAGUUGGGAAGAGAUAGGUGAAGACCAAGUUGACAGCAUUGGCAAAAGCAAAGGCUGCCCAAGCGAUGGAGCUUGACAAACGAGGUUCUACUUUGAGUCACUGAGGCAUUAGCUAACUUUAGGAUAUGUAACUUUGAAGGAAAAGAAUCCAAGAUUGAGAUACCCUCAUAUGGCUGGAAUCUCUUUACCAUGGAGAGGGGGGAGCGUUCUCGUUCUCAUUCUAUGGCGAAAAGUGCAGAGGCUUGUAGAUAAGACAGUACGUGCCAGGCUGGAGAUAUGAUUUGGGCUUGCAUUGCAUCCUUUAAAGCUUCCUGUGGCGAGUCGCUCAUGAGAUAAGACAAAUUACGGCGAGCAAAAACUGUUGGUGACCCUAGUAUUCCUGCUUCAAUAAACUGCAAGUAGGAAAAUAAAACCGUUAUUAGGAUUCCAGCAUUCACUCAGAUUUUCAAGAAUGUAACCAUUAGAGUAUCACAGUUUUCCCAUAAACUGCCACUAUCUCUGAAUUACCUGAGACAUGGAUUGUUUCGGUGCAUGGAACAUGAUCACGAAUGUGGUAUGUCACAUUUUCUAAAACGUACGAAUGUGGUAUGUCACAUUUCCCAUAAACUACAAUGUUGAAAGAUGGCAGUGAGCAAAAGCACAAUGCAUAGGCUGUAAUUUUAUCUGGGUCAAAAAGAACGAUAAAAUUGUCUCUGGUAUGACAAAGCAUAACAUGCU